GCGGAUAUGGUUCAAUGGUAGAACACGAGCUUCCCAAGCUUGCGACGCGGGUUCGAUUCCCGUUAUCCGCU
This 71-nucleotide transfer RNA is filed under the name Lachnoclostridium sp. RNAcentral describes it as "tRNA-Gly". It matches the Rfam family "tRNA". Rfam says of the family: Transfer RNA (tRNA) molecules are approximately 80 nucleotides in length. Their secondary structure includes four short double-helical elements and three loops (D, anti-codon, and T loops). Further hydrogen bonds mediate the characteristic L-shaped molecular structure. tRNAs have two regions of fundamental functional importance: the anti-codon, which is responsible for specific mRNA codon recognition, and the 3' end, to which the tRNAs corresponding amino acid is attached (by aminoacyl-tRNA synthetases). tRNAs cope with the degeneracy of the genetic code in two manners: having more than one tRNA (with a specific anti-codon) for a particular amino acid; and 'wobble' base-pairing, i.e. permitting non-standard base-pairing at the 3rd anti-codon position. Lineage: Bacteria; Bacillati; Bacillota; Clostridia; Lachnospirales; Lachnospiraceae. The record is from RNAcentral. RNAcentral also lists the same sequence under 1 other name.